CGCCGCCCGUCACACCCACGGGAGUUGAUUGCACCAGAAGCAGGUAGCCUGACCGCAAGGAGGGCGCCUACCACGGUGUGGUCAAGUGACGUGGGGUG
RNAcentral lists this ribosomal RNA (98 nucleotides) under uncultured bacterium. Its description in RNAcentral is "partial 16S ribosomal RNA". The record is from RNAcentral.